AAUAUUGGACAAUGGGGGCAACCCUGAUCCAGCCAUGCCGCGUGUGUGAAGAAGGCCUUCGGGUUGUAAAGCACUUUCGGCCGGAACGAAAUCGCGCGGGUGAAUAUCCCGCGUGGAUGACGGUACCGGAAGAAGAAGCACCGGCUAACUACGUGCCAGCAGCCGCGGUAAUACGUAGGGGGCAAGCGUUGUCCGGAUUUAUUGGGCGUAAAGCGCUCGCAGGUGGUCCGUCGCGUCGUGCGUGAAAGGCCCCGGCUCAACUGGGGAGGGUCGUGCGAUACGGGCGGACUGGAGGCCAGUAGGGGGAUGCGGAAUUCCGGGUGUAGUGGUGGAAUGCGUAGAGAUCCGGAGGAACACCAGCGGCGAAGGCGGCAUCCUGGACUGGUCCUGACACUCAGGAGCGAAAGCGUGGGGAGCGAUC
Molecule: ribosomal RNA, 421 nt
Filed under: uncultured bacterium
Lineage: Bacteria
Description: bacterial SSU rRNA
Rfam family: Bacterial small subunit ribosomal RNA
Source: RNAcentral